AUGAUAUGUAUGUAUAUGUAUGCAAUGUUUUCAAGGAUCUCGCGGGGUAAACAAAGAAACUUGUUAGAAUUUGAAUUUUGUAGCUUGAUUGAAGGUACUUCAUGUUGCUUAGAGUCCUUCUUCCCGAGUCAAGCUCACCAUAUCAAGUGGGUCAUAGCCCCUGACUCAAGUUAUCGUGCUUGGAUUCCUAGACAACCUUGGCUAGAGGAAAUAGAUCCCCUUUUCCCCUUGCUGGACAUUUAG
Vicia faba (fava bean) is the source of this 243-nucleotide non-coding RNA. The record is from the annotation of a GenBank genome assembly. NCBI's taxonomy places the organism in Eukaryota, Viridiplantae, Streptophyta, Magnoliopsida, Fabales, Fabaceae.